CUUCAGCGAACCCAGCCACAGCGGCUCACCCGCGCGCUCCCGCCCGUAGGUGGCGAGCAGCGCCUGGGCCUC
RNAcentral lists this antisense RNA (72 nucleotides) under Streptomyces sp. NRRL S-1521. RNAcentral describes it as "ASpks TB sRNA". It matches the Rfam family "ASpks TB sRNA". Lineage: Bacteria; Bacillati; Actinomycetota; Actinomycetes; Kitasatosporales; Streptomycetaceae. The record is from Rfam by way of RNAcentral.